AUGGUACGGCGGGCUAAGAAGGUCCUAAAUGACAAGGCACAACCAGCACCAAACUGUGUAAACUUCUCAAGCUACAAGCAGCUCGUGUGGGGUGACAUCCCAGAAUUAAUCAAGCCGUCUUCAGGGAGCUCUGCAACAUGCUGGAUCCAGGGAAGCUGGUCUUCAACCCCCAAAAGGGAAAGCCCAGCGUCGUCAUGUCCUGGUUCAAGAGGCCCAUCAUCUACGACGUUCGCGCGUGACCCAACCUCAUCGAGAGCACCUCCGGGAGCCGGGAUCUCCAGAUGCCAUGGGCAAGGGACAAGACUUGCAUCAACAUCGUGGUCAUUGGCGAUGUCGACCACCACUAGCCAUCUGAUCUACAAGCUUGGAGGUAUUGACAAGCGUGUCAUCGAGAGGUUUUAG
Molecule: ribosomal RNA, 402 nt
Filed under: Triticum aestivum (bread wheat)
Lineage: Eukaryota; Viridiplantae; Streptophyta; Magnoliopsida; Poales; Poaceae
Description: partial small subunit ribosomal RNA
Source: RNAcentral